CCCCUAGAUGUUCUGGGCCGCACGCGCGCUACACUGACCAGUGCAACAAGCAUCCGUCCUUGGCCGACAGGCUCGGGCAAUCUUUGAACGCUGGUCGUGAUGGGGAUAGACUUUUGCAAUUUUUGGUCUUCAACGAGGAAUUCCUAGUAAACGCAAGUCAUCAACUUGCAUUGAUUACGUCCCUGCCCUUUGUACACACCGCCCGUCGCACCUACCGAUUGAAUGGUCCGGUGAAGCCUCCGGAUUGGCGCGCACCUCGGUGCCGCCGAGAAGUUGGCUAAACCUUNCNAUUUAUNGGAAGGUGAANUCGUANCA
Molecule: ribosomal RNA, 315 nt
Filed under: uncultured eukaryote
Lineage: Eukaryota
Description: partial 18S ribosomal RNA
Rfam family: Eukaryotic small subunit ribosomal RNA
Source: RNAcentral